GACGAACGCUGGCGGCGUGCCUAAUACAUGCAAGUCGAACGCAGUGGGGACGGGUUCGUAACACGUGGGUAACCUCCCCAUCAGCGGGGAGAACACUUGGCAACAGGUGCUAAACCGAUACUGAUGGAUGGACCCGCGGUGCAUUAGCUAGUUGGUGAGGUAACGGCUCACUAAGGGCAAGAUGCAUAGCCGACCUGAGAGGGGGACCGGCCACACUGGGACUGAGACACGGCCCAGACUCCGACGGUAGGCAGCAGUAGGGAAUUUUCGGCAAUGGACGAAAGUCUGACCGAGCAACGACGCGUGAGUGAAGAAGGUUUUCGGAUCGUAAAACGCUGUUGUUAGAGAAGCGGUAUCUAACCAGAAAGCCACGGCUAACUACGUGCCAGCAGCCGCGGUAAUAC
RNAcentral lists this ribosomal RNA (404 nucleotides) under uncultured bacterium. RNAcentral's name for it is "partial 16S ribosomal RNA". It matches the Rfam family "Bacterial small subunit ribosomal RNA", at positions 28 to 526 of the family's 1533-position model. The record is from RNAcentral.